Non-coding RNA from Caenorhabditis elegans, 177 nucleotides. NCBI's taxonomy places the organism in Eukaryota, Metazoa, Nematoda, Chromadorea, Rhabditida, Rhabditidae. The record is from Ensembl.
AUUCCUCAAAACCUCAUUGUUUUCAAUGGCACUAGCAGCUGCCCACAGGGAGUAUCAUUGAGAUGAAAUAGUGUGUGAUCUAGAGAAACCUAGACAUCCGCCCCAUUAAAUUAGGUGAUUUAGGAUCUAGGGGAUCAUCACAAGGUGGGGGAGGGUCCGAAGCUGGCCACCAGUGGA